This 419-nucleotide long non-coding RNA is filed under the name Gossypium raimondii (Peruvian cotton). RNAcentral's name for it is "long non-coding RNA (GRAI_LNC002304)". Lineage: Eukaryota; Viridiplantae; Streptophyta; Magnoliopsida; Malvales; Malvaceae. The record is from RNAcentral.
CCGUGAAGGAGUUUGAAAUAUGGUAAAAUUCUAAGUAUUUGAGGAGUGUGGGGAUGUUGUGGCCGAUUUUUAGGAGUUUGUUGAGGGAAUUUCGAUUUUUGAGGGAUUUGGGGGAUUGAGGGGAGUGUUUUGGGGAGAUUUGGAUGGAAGAAUUUGGAUAAAACCUAAACUAGUAGUGGUAAUUUCAGUUACUCUCUCUUUCUCCCCAAUUUUCUGAUAGCUUUUGGUUUUUCUCUUUACUUCCAUCUUUUAUUUUUUCUUCUUAUUUUUUUUACUUUUGCUGUCGUUCGGUUCUUCACAACCUCCACCUACUGCCGAAAUUUUGAGAUUUCCAUGCUCUUUUUUUGUUCUCUCCAAGCCGAAUGAUAACUACUUCUUUUCCAAAUCUCGGUUGCUCCUAAUCUUUGGACAAUUUGAAU